This is an RNA transcript of Esox lucius (northern pike), 4257 nucleotides long. It is a transcript of the gene named B-cell receptor CD22-like, with no coding region annotated. The transcript has 8 exons. The record is from RefSeq and is a predicted model, not a curated record. NCBI's taxonomy places the organism in Eukaryota, Metazoa, Chordata, Actinopteri, Esociformes, Esocidae.
UAUUGACCAGUCUGAGAUUUGGCCUUUUCUUUGCAACUCAGCCUAGAAGGCCAGCAUCCCGGAGUCACCUCUUCAAUGUUGAUAUUGGGACUGGUAUUUUGCGGGUACUAUUUAAUGAAACUGCCAGUUGAGAACAUCUGAGGCGUCUGUUUCUCAAACUAGACACAUGUAUUUUCCUCUUGCUAAGUUUUGGACCCAGGCUCCCACUCCUUUUUCUAUUCUGGAUAGAGACAGUGGACGCUGUUCUGUGAAAGAAGUAGUACACAGAGUGGUACAAGACCUUCAGUUUCCUGAAAUAGCCUUCAUUUCUCAGAACAAGAAUAGACUAAUGAGUUUCAGAAGAAAGUUCUUGGUAUCUGGUCAUUUUGAGCCUGUAAUCACUGAUGCUCCAGAUACUCAACCAGACAACAGAAGGACAGUUUUCUUGCUUCAUUAAACAGCACAACGGUUUUCAGCGGUGCUAACAUAAGCACAAAAGGGUUUUCUAAUGAUCAAUUAGCAUUUCAAAAUGAUUAACUUGUAUUAGCAAACACAACAUGCCAUUGGAACACAGGACUGGUGGGUGCUGAUAAUGGGCCUCUGUAUGCCUGUAUGUAGAGAUUCCAUUAAACAUAAUUUGCAUAGUCAUUUACUACAUCAACAGUGUCUACAUUGUAUUUCUGAUCAAUUUGAUGUUAUUUUAAUGGGCAAAAAUAUGCUUUGCUUUUGAAGACAUUUUUAAGUGACUCCAAACCUUUGAAUGGUAGUGUAACUAGAAAGCAAAAUACAUCUCAGAUAUUGAGAUUCUUCUAACCCUGGCACUGCAAGAGCCAGGAACUGUGUACCAACUGUGCAACAUGGGACAUGCCUGCCAAUGUAUUACCAUCAAGGAGAGUGUUUUGGGUGUGGCACAUAGAAAUUGUUAUUCAAAGGGCCUGCUGAACCAGAGAACAUUAGUCACAUGCAGCUGUGAUACGCUCUGCACACACACUCACUGAAAUACACACACAACACACACUCAAAAACGUGCACUAACACACACACUAAUCAAUUUUUUCUAACUCAGAUAUCCAGUUAAACAUGAUACUUAACAGAGCAGUUUCAAGGAUCCUUUCAUUGAUGGUUCUUCUGGCACUUUUAGAUGUUUGCAUUUGUUCAUAUCGACUCAAACUUUUCGAAUUACCUAAAGAGCACUUGACUGCAAAGGAAGGGUCCUGCAUUACAAUGGAAUGCACUGUCAAUGGGAUUAUAAAAGAUAAAAAAGAACCGCUAUGGUUUUGGAUGAAAAAUGCACAGUGGGAUGAUAAAAAACAAAAUUACAGCGGCACCAUAAUUGUAAGCAGUAAUCCUGAGGAUCAAACGCCAGCCUCAGACUUAGCACCCAGAGUGAAGUUCCUUGGGUCUCUAAAUUUUAAAUGGGCCAGAAAAGGUGACUCGUGUGGCCUGUUGAUCCACAACCUGCAGAAGACAGACAGUGGAAUCUACAAAUUCAGAUAUAAGGGAAAGGAAAAAUGGAUGACUGAACCAGGUCUGAAUCUUACUGUUGAAGAUGAGCCAUGCCGGGUUAAAGUUAACAACCAGCCAGUGUUCAAAGAGUCUGACAGCGUGACCAUUAAAUGCUCCACAUUUGGGUUAUGUGGAUCAUACCCAGAGGUCACAGGGCUUAGUCAAACCAUCCAACCUUCUCACAACGAAGAGGACAACAUUAAAAUCACUGAGGUCAGCUUUAAUGCUAGCUGGAUGGAUGAUGGGAGGGUGCUGUCCUGUCAACCACCGGGCACCAAAGAUAAUUGUAUGGUCAGGGACAUCAAGCUGACUGUUGAGUAUGCCCCCAAGGAGACCAUCUCCUGGAAAAGUUCCUCUGAUAUAAAGGAAGAUGACAACGUCAUUCUCACUUGUUCCAGCAGAGGGCACCCUAAUGCCACAUACUACUGGUAUAGAGAAAAUUCAUUAAUACAAAACAGUGAAGCAACGUUUAAGAUUUCUUCCAUCAAACCUGAGGACAGUGGGAAAUACCACUGUGAAGCUGUAAACAAACAUGGGACCAAUAAAUCAGAAGCUAUCACACUCAAUGUUAAAUAUGCUCCAAAAGGAGUAAGUGUGGUUACUGAUGACAUGACAACUCAGUACAAGGAAGGAAGCAAUUUCAAAUUAAUUUGUGAAGUGAAUAACGGCAAUCCAUCAGUUUACAUGUACUCCUGGUAUAAAGACAGUGAUAUGCUGACGGGCCACGAACGUACAUACAAUUUCACCAAACUAGAACCUGAACACACCGGAAAAUACCAGUGUGAGGGGACCAAUGAAGCAGGCUCCAGACGAUCACCAGAAUAUCAGAUAAAUGUUCAAUAUGUUCCCAGAAACACUUACAUCGCUCGGAGUGGAGGAAGCCAGGUGGAGGUGGGCUCUUCGUUGUCAAUGACCUGUGUAGCCGAAGCCUAUCCUGCCCCCAGUGGCUACACCUGGUACUACAGGAGAGGAGGACAGUACCAAUGGACGGAACUCUCACAAACAGGCUGGACACUAAGCUGGGAAAAAGUGGACUUAGAAACACACGGGUGUUACAUGUGUAGUGUCACCAAUGACAUCGGCACAGGACAGCAAAGUAGCCAAUCAUGCAUUGAUGUUCUCUUUUCUCAGGAAGACCCAGACAACUCAGGGGUGGCUUCAGGACAAUUCUGCAAAUGUCUUGGAGUGGCCCAGCCAGAUCCCAUACCCAACCCUGUUCAAACAUCUCUGUAAGGAACUGAAUGGAUGUGAAGUAAUAGUUCCCAUCCAACCAGCUUGAGAGGAUCUGCAGACAAGAAUGAGAGAAUCUCCCCAAAUACAGGGGUGUCAAGUUUCAAACCCAAGAGGACUUGAGACUGCCAAAGAUGCUUUAACCAAGGGGUCUGAUUGAAGUGUUCUGAAUACUUACAUGGUCUCAGGAUAUUUUAGCCCAAAACCUGGUUGCCCAGCCUGCCAGGACAUUGAGACUUGACCAUGGAUGGAUCAUCCAACGUCUCCAGUGUUUUAAGUAUAUGCAAACAACAUAUUAGUGUACAAGAGUUGAAUAAUGUAAUUACAUUGAGUUUCCUGAUUGCCCUGUUAAAACAGAUGAAGACAGUAACAACAAAAAUGUUGCUUUUGAUAUUUUAUUUUUUACCCAGUUUAGAAGGCACAUUUAAACAAUUGCAGAUCACAUGAAGAAGAAUUCCGGAUGUCCCCUUGUGUCCUGAGAGGACAGGAUAUUGAUAGUUGAAUCUAAAAUUAAAUAGGCUAUUUGGCUUGUAAGAGAUUGUAAGUCCUCUUAGACCUGCUUCACUCUAGUCACAACCUAAGUGUUGCAGAAGUUUUUGUUUUAUUAUCCUGAACCAUGUUGACAUACAGUAGUGAUCAUUAUAAAUAAUGUUUAUUUCUAGAGCACUUUCAUUACAAUGCUAAUUAUUUUGCCAAGCUUACAAUCAAAAUUGUAGUAACUUUAAGUGUGUCCCAAUUGCAAUGUUAACCCUUAUGCAUACUGUAGACAAUAUAGGAGUAAAGUUUUAUUAAAUUCAUAAAGUGCUUUUCAUGACAACACAUUUGUAAUUUUGUAUUUUUUAACCCGGACGCAAAAAGAUCCUUGCAGCAGAUAAAAACUAAACAUAAGAACAUCAUAAAAACAAGUGAAUUAUUAGUUGGAAUAAAUCACAAGGCAAUACAAAGAGUUUGUAUAUUACUCACAGCAAAACCACAUUCGGUCACCCAUCUGUGAUUGUAUACAUUUUCAGUGAAGGAGAUGUUACUAGUAUUAAAAUCAAUGUGUUGUACUUUGCUCAGUUAUUAAUUGGUAGUUAUAUACAUUUAAUAAUGUUACAGAACAAUAACUUUUGUCGAUAUCCAGACUCGACCCUGGUUAGAAACUCAGACAAAGUAUUGAGAUGGUAAGUGAAAACAAUCUCAUGGAAGUGAAACUUUGAAUACUGAGUUAUGGGUGCACUUUAUUUUGAGCGCCUGAAUGCCAUCUGUAGUUGCUCUGGUUUUUGAUAAUUCGUUGAUAGUAUGAAAAGCAACUGCUUGCUAAUGUUUGGAUUAAGUUUAUGGUAAGAGUUAAAGUUAAGGUUAGGAUAUUGGUAAAGGUCAAGUUAGGGUCUUGUAAUAUACAGUAUAUUAGUAAUUAGUCAGUAGAUUGUAGACUUUUGGGACUCCCCAAAUAAAGUGGUACCUCCAUAAUAAGUAAAAAGAAAAAGAGAAUUAUUUAAAUUUCAGCCUGUUCACACAGUAUUUUACUCCACUUCACAACAUAUCACACCGUGAUCUCAU